GGCUUGGUACUAUUGAUAGUAUAGUAGCACAAUUCUAUAUAUAUAUAUAUAUAUAUAUAUGGGUCCGGCUACUAUACUAUUAUGAGUACGAUCGCCCUCGCACUCAUAAGUUGUUUUCGAUGAUAGAGCUUCCGAAUCGACGAUCCACACCGUUAAACGUUAUUUACAGCAUUUAAAACUUCUAGAAAUAAAAUUUUAUAAUUUUUCGACAUUAUUUACCUUACGAUCAAGAGGUCACAAAUUUGACAAUUUUUAACGGCCGGUAUGGAAUACUUGCUAGUUUAAUGGUGUAAAAGAAUCAGAAUUUGUUGAAUUUUUGAUAGAAAAUUCUAUUCACUACAUAGAUAAAGAUCAAUAACUUCGAUCUUGAAUUGAAAGAUCCGAUCAUCCUUUUUUUAGGACGUCGUUCAAUUUUGACCGUUCAUUUUUUGCCUACUUGAUGGACUUUAUUAUGAUUUCGAAAAUUUACGAAAUUUAUUUUCUAAAAGUUUCAAAUACUCUAUAUCAUAUUUAACGGAGUGGAUCGUCGAUUCGGAUGCUCCAUCAUUGAAAGCAACUUAUUAGUACGAGGGCUCCAAUACUCAUAAUAGUAUAGUAGCCAUGGCCAUAUAUAUAUAUAGAGAGAAGGAUAGCUGUGUUCUCAGGAGCACGAAGGUCUCUGUGCUCUUGAGUUGUUUUCGAUGAUGGAAUUUUCGAAUCGACGAUCGGCUCCGUCAGACUUAAUCUAGCGUAUUUGAAAUUUCUAGAAAAUAAUUUUUGCGAUUUUUCGAUAUCAUUUACCUAUCAAUCAAAAGGAUUCAAAAUUAAUAAUUUUUAACGGUUGAAAAUAAAAAUUCUAUAAAAAGUGGUGAUAUAGCACUAAAAUUUUCGAUCAGAAAUAUUGAUCUUGUUGUAGAUAGUAUAAAGAAUUUUGUAUUAAAAUUUCAUCUGAUUUGAAUACUUCUAUACCGUUAAACUUGAAAACGGUAGAUAUCAACCUUUAAAAAUAUUGAUUUUGAACGCUUUCGAUCACUAGGUAAAUAAUAUAAAAAAUUCGCAAAAAUUAUUUUCUAGAAAUUUCAAAUACGCUAGAUCAAAUCUAACGGAGCCGAUCGUCGAUUUGAAAAUUUAUCAUUGAAAACGACUCAGGAGCACGGAGAGAUCAUAGCAGUUCUGCUCUCUCUCUCUCUCUCUCUCUCUC
Molecule: long non-coding RNA, 1180 nt
Filed under: Ananas comosus (pineapple)
Lineage: Eukaryota; Viridiplantae; Streptophyta; Magnoliopsida; Poales; Bromeliaceae
Description: long non-coding RNA (ACOM_LNC035860)
Source: RNAcentral